RNAcentral lists this ribosomal RNA (566 nucleotides) under uncultured archaeon. Its description in RNAcentral is "bacterial SSU rRNA". It matches the Rfam family "Archaeal small subunit ribosomal RNA", at positions 319 to 889 of the family's 1478-position model. The record is from RNAcentral.
GUGAUUCGGGGCGCAGCAGGCGCGAAACCUUUGCAAUGUGCGAAAGCACGACAAGGUUAAUCCGAGUGUCUCCCGCUAAGGGAGUCUUUUGUCAGUUCUAGAACCACUGGUGAAUAAGGGGUGGGCAAGUUCUGGUGUCAGCCGCCGCGGUAAAACCAGCACCUCGAGUGGUCAGGAGGUUUAUUGGGCCUAAAGCAUCCGUAGCCGGUUGCAUAAGUUUUCGGUUAAAUCUAUGCGCUUAACGUAUAGGCCGCCGAAAAUACUGUGCAGCUAGGGAGUGGGAGAGGUACACGGUACUCGAUAGGAAGGGGUAAAAUCCUUUGAUCUAUUGAUGACCACCUGUGGCGAAGGCGGUGUACCAGAACACGUUCGACGGUGAGGGAUGAAAGCUGGGGGAGCAAACCGGAUUAGAUACCCGGGUAGUCCCAGCUGUAAACGAUGCAGACUCGGUGAUGCAUUGGCUUGUGGCCAAUGCAGUGCCGCAGGGAAGCCGUUAAGUCUGCCGCCUGGGAAGUACGUACGCAAGUAUGAAACUUAAAGGAAUUGGCGGGGGAGCACAAUCGAAU